Molecule: ribosomal RNA, 484 nt
Filed under: uncultured bacterium
Lineage: Bacteria
Description: partial 16S ribosomal RNA
Rfam family: Bacterial small subunit ribosomal RNA
Source: RNAcentral
AGUGAACGCUGGCGGCGUGCUUAACACAUGCAAGUCGAACGAGAACGGAUUAUAGCUUGCUAUAAUUGUCAGCUAAGUGGCGCACGGGUGAGUAAGGUAUAGGUAAUAUGCCUCUUACUAAGGGAUAACAAAUGGAAACGUUUGCUAAUACCUUAUACUCCUUAUUAACAGAAGUUAAUAUGGGAAAGAUUUAUUGGUAAGAGAUUAGCCUGUAUUGUAUCAGUUAGUUGGUGGGGUAAUGGCUUACCAAGACUAUGACACAUAACUGGUUUGAGAGGAUGAUCAGUCACACUGGAACUGAGACACGGUCCAGACUCCUACGGGAGGCAGCAGUGGGGAAUAUUGCACAAUGGACGAAAGUCUGAUGCAGCAACGCCGCGUGGAGGAUGACACAUUUCGGUGCGUAAACUCCUUUUAUAUGAGAAGAUAAUGACGGUAUUAUAUGAAUAAGCACCGGCUAACUCCGUGCCAGCAGCCGCGGUAA